This 1251-nucleotide long non-coding RNA is filed under the name Phascolarctos cinereus (koala). RNAcentral describes it as "lncRNA (ENSPCIG00000035168.1)". Lineage: Eukaryota; Metazoa; Chordata; Mammalia; Diprotodontia; Phascolarctidae. The record is from RNAcentral.
GCUGAAGUGAUUCCAGUGCAGGUGCUAUUGGGCACAGCCCUGGAAAAGCACUUCCAGUUACAGGAAGUUACGUAGAAUUGGGUUACCAACUCUCUGGAGAGCCCAAACAGAGCAGCUGAUACACGAUAACAGAUUCACUAUUUGAUGGGCGUUUUGACCUGAACCUUCAGAAAACUGUGACUGGGCACAGGGUUAAAAAAAAAGUAGAAAAGUGUAGAAAAGUUAGAAAAGCAAAUGAAAGCCUUUCAUUGAAUUGCUUGGGGACGCACAUUAGAGGGAAGACAUUGACAGGGAAACACCCUAUGCUGGGCAUCAUGUCCUGGUUCUUCAGACACUGCACCACCAUUUUAGCUGGCUCAGGACUCCUUUGGAUUUUCAUCAGCUUGGGAACCCCCAACAUAAUGAAAACAUUUAUUUUCUGGUGAAAUCAGAAGCCAACUAGCUCUGCCCUGAUCUCAGUCUAGGAAUAGAGCAAUGUGGAAUUGGGCCUGAUAUGAAUAGGCCCAAUCAUCAACCAAAUCUGAGCUUACCUCCUCCCUUUAUCUCUCCUAGAAGAUAAUUGGACAGUAGCCCAUAGCCCUGAAAUAUUUAUUUUGUACUUUUCUUGAGGUGGGGGAGGAAACAACUGUGGUCUGAGCCCUGAAUACUCUGUCCAACGGUUUGGCAUCCUGGGAACAUUUCUACCUUGGUAACUCUUUGGUCACCAAUCCACACUACUUUUCCCCCUGGAAAUCUUAGAACACGAUGACAAUCAUAAUAAUUACAGCUGAUAUUGGCAAUGUUUUUAGUGGAAGGAGUGUUAGCCUCACGAUUAGGAAAACCUGGUUCAGAUCCUGCCUCUGAUACACACUGAUUAUGUGACUUUGAGCAAGUGUCCUCAUGCAACUCUCUAAAUCCUUAAGUUGUAGAGAAAGUGGUAACAUGUUGAUAGGCUGAUAGACGGAAUUGCUAUUAUCAAUGAAACCGUAGGUCCAAUUCCCUUUCCCUUAAGGUUUGCAGAGCCCCUUAUAUAUAUGAUCUCAUUUUAUUAUUGCAAUAGUCCUUUGAGGUAGAUAAUUCCACAGGAGGAAAAAAUAAUCUCCAUUUAACAGAAGAGGAAACUUGAGGAUUAGAGGGUUAGGUGACUUACCCAGAGUCUCACAGUUAGUGAGUACAGAUGUUAAAUAAGAAAAAACAGAGAUCAUGGAGGUGAAUUACUUCUGUUCUGAGAGUUUUAAGAGAGAAAAUAAAAUGGAGGGCAAAGGAAAUACA